Molecule: long non-coding RNA, 6645 nt
Organism: Acinonyx jubatus (cheetah)
Lineage: Eukaryota; Metazoa; Chordata; Mammalia; Carnivora; Felidae
Exons: 3
Source: RefSeq, a predicted model, not a curated record
AUCACUAGCUCUGCUUUAUUUAGAUUUGAAAUAUGGCUGUGCUCCUUGUUAACUAGAGUCUUUGUUAUAAGAAGUUCAAUAAAAAUAGCAUAAGGUGAAGCUUCUCAGUGCUUUGAAAUGUGCAUUUCUUCUUCCGAGACCGCUUCACAUCAGUCUUGGCUAGGCUUUCUGCCAGUGUUUUGUUGCAAUUACUUGACUCCUGUAGAUUAGAUAAUGACCUCAGCUUCUUCACUGAAGAGAGACAAAAGAUUCAAAAAUAUGCUCUGAAAGAUCUUUAUAGCUACAUUGCUUUGUGAUCCUACAAAGGCUGAAUCUGGGGGAAAGUGGGAGAAAGGAGAAAAUCGUCUUUCAAUUCUCACUUUCAUCUUCUCCACAGUUUUUUUUUUUUUUUUCCUGAAUGAAUCUGGUCAACCUUCAUCUAACUUGGAAGAACUUUAAAUGCUUUUCUCAGUUUUUCUUCCCAGUCCUGUCGUAUUAAGGGAGUUAUUUAACCCCUCAAGUGUAAAACGAUGAUUAUAAUAGUGUGUAUGGCAAAGGUUGAUGUGAAGGUUGGAACAGAAAUAGAAAAGCCUUUAAAAUCCCAGAGGGACUCCAGACACCAAUGGUCCCAGGACUAUUCAGGCAGGGUUUCUUGCUAGAAUCUCCAAACCAGACCUUGUAGGAGUUCUUCACUUUGCUUGCUUUAUGGGUUUUUUUUUUUUAACUUUUAUAAUGUUUAUUUAUUUUUGAGAGAGAGAGAGAGAGAGAGUUGAGAAGGGGCAGAGACAGAGGGAGACACAGAAUCUGAAGCAGGCUCCAGGCUCUGAGCUGUCAGCACAGAGCCCAACAUGGGGCUCGAAUCCACGAACUGUGAGAUCAUGACCUGAGCCAAAGUCUGGCGCUCAACCGACUGAGCCACCCAGGCACCCAUGCUUUAUGAGUUUCUUAAAUAAUCUUCGCUGAUCAGGAAGUCGAGUAUGGUGAGAUGAAAAGGUUUAAAAUCGGUUGAUCAGUGUCCUGAGAAGCAUGAGUUGGGAAAGGGAGAAGAUUUGAAUUGGGAUAUGGAGGACAACCUCCUUCCAGGGUUCUCACCAGUGUUUUGAGCUAGAGCAAGUCACAUGGCCUCCCUGAGCUCUAGUUCCUAAGUGCAAACAGUAACCCUGCUCUUCCUGGGAAGAUCGUUGCAAGGGAAUAGACAGAAAACAAAACAAAACAAAAACAAACAAAAAACCAAUAAAACGACAAACCCCCACCCCCCCGAUCACCUGAAUGGUGAAUGAACAUGUUGGACAAUAACCAACUGCACUAAUAAGUAUGGAAAUACACAGUAAAACAACAAGGUAUGAUUCCAAUUGCAAAGAUUUUGAAGUGUGACUAUAUUGAAUACUGGUCAAUAAAUGAGGAGAUAGGAAUUUAUAGUCACUGUUACAGAGUUCCAUUGACAUGAUUCCCAUGAGAAUAAAUUUGUUUAUAUUUAGGAAAUUUAAAAAUGUAUCCUCUUACAACCUAAAAAUUUUACUUCAUGUGUAUUCUAGAAAUAUCUUUUAUGUACAAACACAAAGAAACCUGUAUGAGGAUAUUCAUUUGAAUACUUAUAAUAACAAAAAUUGGAAACUCCAAAUAUAUGGAAAGGAGGACAGAUAAAUAUUCAUAUAACUAAAUACUACACAGCAUGUAGAAGGAAUGAAUGUGAUUAUAUAUAGUAUCUAUAAAAUAAUGUACUUAGACAUGGAUACAUUUUUUUUAAGUAUUUUUUAAAAUGUAGUUUUGAGAGAGAGAGAAAGCACAAGUGGGAGCAGAAAGAGGGAAGGAGAGAGAAUCCCAAGCAGGAUCUGCACUUUCAGCACAGAGCCCAAAGUGGGCCUUGCACCCACAAACUGCGAGAUCAUGACCUGAGCCGAAGUCGGAUACUUACGCAACCGAGCCACCCAGGUGCCCCCAACACGGAUAAAUUUUAAAAACCUAAAGUUAUUGUCCAACUAUAGGCAUAAAGUACUAUUUAUGUAAGUUAGAAAUACUAUUUCUUACAAAACAAUACUAUAUAUUAUUUAUACUAUUAAUGGAUAUAUAUAUAUAUAUACACAUAUAUGUGUGUAAACUAAAACGUAUAUACAUGUACACACAGAUACACACACACAGCUGAAAAACGGACUGCGAAUACAUAUAUACAAAUGAAAUGGUAAUGGUAAUGGUUGGCUCUGGGGAGAAAGAGGGUAAAGAGACUGGAAAUGGGGAUAAAGCAGAUUUCAAGUAUAUUGUAAUGUUUUCUUCCUUUGAUAAGAAAGAAAAGCAAAUACGAGCAUAUGUUAACAGUUCUCAAUUCUGUACUUGGCCGCAUUUUUAAUUUUCUUAAAAUAAAGAUUAUCAUUAUUCUUGACUCAUACUUAGUAGUCAUUAUUAUGACUUCGAACAGAUUUAUGAAAUCAAAGAAAAAUAAUUCAAAUGAACCCCACAUUUAUGUAAUUAAUUUAUAGAAGCAACGUAAAUUCAAUCUCAAAGGCUUCCCACUGGCAGAUUUUCAGGAAGGAGAAACAAGAAGGAAGGCACAGGAACAAGUGGGGGCACUGGCUGUUCCCCACGAUGACGUCACAAAGAGCACAGGCCCAAGCUCCCCCCAUGCUUCUUUUACAGACUUAAAACUGCUUAUUCUAUUCCUUUGUGAUGUCUUUUAGCGCUCCUUUCUCUUUCAAGACCACUUUGGAUGAUCACAUUCAAGUGACCUUAUCUGGAUAAAGAUGCUGAGUUGGGGGGGGGGGGCCCAGAUUGGCUUUGCACCCCACACAUCCCUGGAUAUAGACUGAAAAACCAUCUACUCUGCCACCCCAGCUAAACAAACCUCAUAUUUAUUUUCUUACGAAAUAAGCUUGCAGUACUCCCUAGUUUACAUAUUUGUCAGCCAUUCUGCAGAGUUUGAAUGGCAUCACUCAAGGAUUUGUUAUUAAAUGAGAGAAAUAUUGAGGCUAAGCAUAAAAGAAAAACAGCAAUUUCAAUAGGUCAGUCAUCACCCUUAUUAGGCCACGGGGCUUUCCAAAGUGAAUAUUUUCAACCAGAGCUGUCUUUUUAAAAACAUGUUUAUUUAUUUUGAGAGAGAGUACAAGCAGGGGAGGGGCAGAGCCUGAUGCAGAGCUCCAUCUCAGGAACCAUGAGACCCUGACCUGUGAGCUGAAAUUAGGAGUCAAAUGCUUAACUGUGAGAUCAUAACCUGAGCCGAAGUCAAGAGUCAGAUGCUUAACUAACUGAGCCAGGAGGCACCCAUGGUCAAAGCUGUCUUUUAGUCCAUCAAUUAUUAAGUAGAUCAAGGAAAGGAGAGAGAUCAACAUUCCAGAGGAGUAGGUGGACCUGAAGUUUCCUCGUCCCUCAAACACAGCAGUGUUGAGGACAGAGGCCUUGGAAAUUCCAAGAGUCUGGGCUGCAGAGUGACAGAGACGUCUCCUGGGGCCCACGGAGACGACUUGGCAGGCCAUGGCAAUGUGCCAGGGAAUGGAAUACAAGAUGAAACAGACACAUUCCUGCCCUUCUGGAGCUCUCUGACUAGUGCGAGAAUCAGAUAGAUGUAUUAAUCUGGCUGCUGUAUGAAGAAUGGACUUGAAGGAGUAAACAGAAGGCAGAGUGGCCAGUUGGGAGAGAUAAUGAGAGUCUGGACUAAGGGGACAGCGAUGGGGACAGAUUCGUAAAAUUGGCAGGAUUUGUAAGUGAGCAAACGUAAAGGUGAUGGAAUAACCAAAGUCGAGUCUCCAAAUGCUAGCUAGGAUAACUUCAUGAAUGAUAGCAGCACUAAGAGAACACAGGAAGGUUUGGGACAAGGUUGAUCUUUUCAGUCUGGGACUGGGUGAGUUUGUGAUAAUAGGGUGAUACCUGUGAGUAGUGAGGCUUACACCUAGGAGAAGAUCGAGAGAAGAACCUUCAGUACAGGUAAAGGUUUGGAAGUUGUUAGCACACUGGUACCAUUUGGAAUCAUGAAAGUAGAUGAAGUCAGCCUUUCAAAAUUAUUGUGUAGAAUAAGUCAGUGAGCAAGGAUGGGAUCUGAGGAAAUCUACUAUUUAAAGGGUAGGCAGAAGAAGAUAAGGCCAAAGAGGAAACAGGGAAGGAACUAAAUAUGAGAAAGAAAAGAACCAGGAAAGUCAAAUGUAAUGAAAGCCAAGAAAGUAGAGAGUUUCAAAGUAGAGAGAGCAAUCAAUAUUGCCAAAAUAGCAUGCUAAUUCAAUAUGAAAAAAAUUGAGAACUGUCCGCUGGGUUUGAUAAUUAAGUGAUUAUUUGUGACCUUAACUAAAGUGGUUCCAGCAGACUGAGGGAAGAAAAAGCCCGAGUACCAAUAAAGCAUGCAUUGAACAGGAGAUGUGAGCUAAGCUAGAGUCUAUUCUGCUCUUUUGAGAUGUUCGGGGAGGAAGGGGAAGGGGCAGACUAAUGGUAAUCCAAGCAAAACACUGGGUCAGAGGAGGAUAUUUUUAUGAUGAACAAUGCUUGAUGUGUUUAUAGGCUGUGGAGAAAGAGCUACUGGACAGAGAGAAGAGGGGAUGACUGAAUAAGGACCAUGAAGUAGCAGGAAAGGAUGGACUCAAAAGAAAAGACGGAGAAUAUAUCAGUUUCCUAAGGCCGCUGAAGCAAAUGCCACAACUGAAUGGCCUAAAACAACAGAAAUGUAGUAUCUUACAGUUCUGGAGUCUAGAAGCCUGAAGUCAAGGUGGAUCAUGCUCUCUCAGACUCUGGGUAGAAACUUUCCUUGCCUCUUCCUAGCUUCUGAUGGUGGCCAUUGGUCUUCACCUGUCACUGUGUGUGUGUGUGUGUGUGUGUGUGUGUGUGUGUGUCCAAAUUUCCUUCUUAAUGACCUCAUUUUCACUUGAUUCCAUUCACAAAGACCCUAUUUCCAGCAAGGUCACAUUCACAAGUACCAGAGGUUAGGACAUCAACCUAUCUUUUUGGAGAACACCAUUCAACCCCUAACAAAGGAGUUGAUCUUGAAAAAAACCACAACCCUAACAGAGGGAUUGAUCUUGAGAAAAGGUAUCUCAUCCUCUGAGAAAAAAAGGUAGGAUGGGAAUGGAUGUAGAUAAGAUUGUAGGUAAAGAGGGCAGGACGUUGAAACAGUUCAUGCCUAAUAGCCUCAAUUAUCAUAUGUUGAGAGUAAACUGGGACAGAGUUGAACAAGGAGCUUAAAGAGAGUGGCAAAGAUCUAGAAAAGUUAUUAAAGGGAAUGGACAAACUAACCUAGGACGAGUGAAAAGAUUGAUGGAUGAAGGUGGUGAGGGUUCACUUAAGGCAAGAAAGUGAAGUGAGUGAAAUGGUACCCCCACUCCUGCCAAAAAAGGAAGGGGGAUGUUUACAGCAGAUCAAAGAAUUCAGCAAGAUUAAUGCAGGGGAGUGGAAGAAAUCCACAUUAGGAGGAGGCAGCAGGGGGUCAGAGCUGGGAUGCUAACAGAGGGUGAGACUGCCUUUCCCCUGACUGAAGAGUGAGAUGCAUGUCUGGAAGAAACUGGCUGCAUAUAAUUUAAUUCUGACACAUAUUGGAAUAGACUAUUCAUUCCUUGAAAAAUAUGGCCAAGACUCAGGAAAGACAAAAAAGUGUUUUUGGCUGCUUUACAAUUUGUAAAGACUUUUCACAUAGGCUGUUCUAUCUAAAGCAAGAACCACAUCUUACACAAAUUCCCAUAGAACUUAGUUAAGUACAUGAGGGACUCAGAAUAAGCUUGUUUCUUGUAGAUUCGCACAUUUUGCUUGAAACAAAGAAACCAGUCUACUACGUCUGUGACAAUGCGCAGAAAUCUAAGGAAGAAACUAGGCAUAGACAGGUACAUUUUGAUGGGAGAAAAAGGAAUAGAAGAGAUGUAGUUGAUAAGACUUGCAAGGUGUCAUAGAAAAGGGCUUGGAAUCUGGAGUCAGAUACACCUCUGUUGGUUUUUGAUUUUUGUGUGUAUGACUAUAGUGGAAGCCAUAUGUCUGUUUCUUGUCUCAAAAAUGAUGACCAGGAUGGCAAACUCGCCAAGAGGCCGAAUGAAAACCAAGACGGGUCACAUUUGGCCAACACGGAGCUUUUUUAAAAGUUGAGUUUGAAUGCAUUUAGCCAGGGUCCUAUCCAUUUGCCAUAAAAACAAAGGAAAGGGGAAAACACCACAUCGUUAUGAAAUUCUGGACACCGACUAUUGUCGAAGUGACCAGGUUGUUUUCCACCAUCUAGUGGAAAUGGUGGCCAAGAUAUGAGUUAACUCCAACUGCAGAAAAUUACAGAUAGCUACAUUUCUUAAAAACCUCAGGUUGUAGUCUAUGAAAUUCAUGCCCACUAUGCUGGUCAAUCUGAAUGAUCACCAUUUGGAUUUUCUCAGCUCUUUAGUGGUUAUAGUUGUGUGUUUAACACUAUAGCUUUAUUUUUAUUAUUAUUCUUGCUAGGAACAGGUCUACUUCAUUCAAAUAUCCUGUUCCCCCCUACUCUGCCAUUUGUGCUGUAGCAUUUGGCUCGGUCACCGCAAGUGGUUGAAGCUUAAGACCAACACUAAUGUAACUUACAGAAAGGGAAGGAAAGAAAAUGAGAUUGAUUUAAAAAAUUCACUUAUUUCUAAAUGUUAAUUAAAAAAAGGAAAUAGUUUCUUUCUUUGUUUUCUUAAGUCUAUUUACUUAUUUUGAGAGAGAGAGAGAGGGCGUGUGUGUGUGUGUGCACGUGCACAUGCGCACGCA